Molecule: ribosomal RNA, 491 nt
Filed under: uncultured bacterium
Lineage: Bacteria
Description: partial 16S ribosomal RNA
Rfam family: Bacterial small subunit ribosomal RNA
Source: RNAcentral
AUUGAACGCUGGCGGCAGGCUUAACACAUGCAAGUCGAACGGACUACUUCGGUAGUUAGUGGCGAACGGGUGAGUAAUGCCUAGGAAUCUGCCGUUUAGUGGGGGAUAACGUUCCGAAAGGAACGCUAAUACCGCAUACGUCCUACGGGAGAAAGAGGGGGAUCUUCGGACCUCUUGCUAAACGAUGAGCCUAGGUCAGAUUAGCUAGUUGGUGAGGUAAAGGCUCACCAAGGCGACGAUCUGUAGCGGGUCUGAGAGGAUGAUCCGCCACACUGGAACUGAGACACGGUCCAGACUCCUACGGGAGGCAGCAGUGGGGAAUAUUGGACAAUGGGGGCAACCCUGAUCCAGCCAUGCCGCGUGUGUGAAGAAGGCCUUUUGGUUGUAAAGCACUUUAAGCGAGGAGGAGGGUACUCUAGCUAAUACCUAGAUGUAUCGGACGUUACUCGCAGAAUAAGCACCGGCUAACUCUGUGCCAGCAGCCGCCGUAA